RNAcentral lists this long non-coding RNA (214 nucleotides) under Elaeis guineensis (African oil palm). Its description in RNAcentral is "long non-coding RNA (EGUI_LNC043770)". The record is from RNAcentral. Lineage: Eukaryota; Viridiplantae; Streptophyta; Magnoliopsida; Arecales; Arecaceae.
UGAUCCCGCAGGUUCGAACCUAAGCCGGUAGCACAGGAACCAAUUCCUGUACUAAUCGAAGUGACCAUCUAGCAAUGGUACCGAUGAUCGGAUAGGUCGAAUAGUCACAAUCGUAACACUCAGAACCUACGUGAAUAUGGUUACUAUAUAAUUCAUCCUUUUGACCUCUGUGUUUAGGAUGACUCAGGGUUAAACUGUCCACCUUGAUUAGAUC